Molecule: long non-coding RNA, 480 nt
Filed under: Hordeum vulgare
Lineage: Eukaryota; Viridiplantae; Streptophyta; Magnoliopsida; Poales; Poaceae
Description: long non-coding RNA (HVUL_LNC013427)
Source: RNAcentral
GCAGCCCUCUCUCCCUCCACUACUUCGUGACACCCCGUAGAUAGUUCGGUACGGCAUGGCGAAGCCCUGCCAGAAUAGCUCUACCAUCAUCACCGCCACGCCGUCGUGCUGUCGGAGAAUUCAGCUACCUCUUCGUCUCUCUUGCUGGAUCAAGAAGACGGAGAUCGUCAUCGAGCUGUACGUGUGCUGAACACGAAGGUGUCGUUCGUUCGGCGCUAGAUCGGGACGGAUCGUGGGACGGCGGUGAUUUGGAUCGCGAAGACGUUUCACUACAUCAAUCGUGUUUCUUAAUGCUUCCCGUUUAGCGAUCUAUAAGGGUAUGUGAAUCUGAUCUCCCUUUUGUAGAUGGUCAUCACCAUGACAGAUCUUCGUGUGUAUAGGAAAGUUUUUGUUUCCCAUACAACGUUCCCCAAUACUUCACCCCUCCUCUUCGAGGCAACACCCAAUGCAAUAUACAAGUAGCAGAGGAUAAGACCUCCU